UGCCAGCAGCCGCGGUAAUACGUAGGAUCCAAGCGUUGUCCGGAUUUACUGGGUGUAAAGGGCGUGUAGGUGGAUUUUUAAGUCGAUGGUGAAAUCCUGCAGCUUAACUGCAGAACUGCCGUCGAUACUGGAAAUCUUGAGUUCGGUAGAGGGAGACAGAAUUCAUGGUGUAGCGGUGAAAUGUGUAGAUAUCAUGAAGAAUACCGGUUGCGAAGGCGGUCUCCUGGCCCGAUACUGACACUGAGGCGCGAAAGCGUGGGUAGCAAACAGGAUUAGAUA
RNAcentral lists this ribosomal RNA (279 nucleotides) under uncultured bacterium. RNAcentral describes it as "partial 16S ribosomal RNA". It matches the Rfam family "Bacterial small subunit ribosomal RNA", at positions 506 to 784 of the family's 1533-position model. The record is from RNAcentral.